Molecule: ribosomal RNA, 564 nt
Filed under: uncultured Glomeromycotina
Lineage: Eukaryota; Fungi; Glomeromycota
Description: SSU rRNA
Rfam family: Eukaryotic small subunit ribosomal RNA
Source: RNAcentral
UUGGAGGGCAAGUCUGGUGCCAGCAGCCGCGGUAAUUCCAGCUCCAAUAGCGUAUAUUAAAGUUGUUGCAGUUAAAAAGCUCGUAGUUGAAUUUCGGGAUCAGAGUGUCGGUCGUGCCUCGGUACGCACUGGUAUUAUUGGUUCCUACCUUCUGAAGAACCGCGAUGUCAUUAAUUUGGUGUCGUGGGGAAUCAGGACUGUUACUUUGAAAAAAUUAGAGUGUUUAAAGCAAGCUAACGCUUGAAUACAUUAGCAUGGAAUAAUGAAAUAGGACGUUCGAUCCUGUUUUGUUGGUUUCUAGGAUUGACGUAAUGAUUAAUAGGGAUAGUUGGGGGCAUUAGUAUUCAAUUGUCAGAGGUGAAAUUCUUGGAUUUAUUGAAGACUAACUACCGCGAAAGCAUUUGCAAAGGAUGUUUUCAUUAAUCAAGAACGAAAGUUAGGGGAUCGAAGACGAUCAGAUACCGUCGUAGUCUUAACCAUAAACUAUGCCGACUAGGGAUCGGAUGAUGUUAAUUUUUUAAUGACUCAUUCGGCGCCUUACGGGAAACCAAAGUGUUUGGGUUC